UUUUUUUUUUUUUUUUUUUUUUGUGGUACUGGGAUUGCACCCAGAGCCUCAGGCACACUACGCGUGCGUUCUACCACUGAAGUACGUCCCCAGCCCCCCUCACCUUUUGGGGAUAAUUAUUUUCAAAUUUUGAGACUGGGUCUUGCUAAAUUCCCUAGGCUGUCUUCAAACUUGGGAUCCUCCUGCUUCAGCCUUCCAAGAUCACAGGCUUGGGUCACCGCACAGGAACCAUUUGGAAGAUUUUAAAAGGCAAUUCAUUCUUGUGUUCUCAUUAACACAUUCACACCAUAAAUUAUUUCCAGGAUCAAUUCUAUAUGAGUCUGCCAGAGAUGACUGAAGAAUCUUCAGUUUCUGAGCAGGAAGAUUACAGGAAAAUGAAGGCAUUCAAUUCAGAAGAAGAAAUGAGAAGAAGGUAGUAGAUAAGAGCAUCUAAGAAGGGAAACUAACAGAUCCUGUAUUUGCAAGAAAAUAAGCAAGAGUAACAGCAGAUAUUAAAAUAAGCAAAAAAACAAAACAAAACAAAAAAACCUGUCUCAAUGCCUGAAAUAAACUGAGAAACAAA
Long non-coding RNA from Ictidomys tridecemlineatus (thirteen-lined ground squirrel), 562 nucleotides. RefSeq lists it as uncharacterized. Lineage: Eukaryota; Metazoa; Chordata; Mammalia; Rodentia; Sciuridae. The record is from RefSeq and is a predicted model, not a curated record.